AACGAACGCUGGCGGCAUGCCUAACACAUGCAAGUCGAACGAGACCUUCGGGUCUAGUGGCGCACGGUUGCGUAACGCGUGGGAACCUGCCCUUAGGUUCGGAAUAACUCUCCGAAAGGGGUGCUAAUACCGGAUAAUGUCUUCGGACCAAAGAUUUAUCGCCUUUGGUUGGGCCCGCGUUGGAUUAGCUAGUUGGUAGGGUAACGGCCUACCAAGGCAACGAUGCAUAGCUGGUCUGAGAGGGUGAUCAGCCACACUGGGACUGAGACACGGCCCAGACUCCGACGGGAGGCAGCAGUAGGGAAUCGGCCGCAAUGGGCGAAAGCCUGACGGAGCAACGCCGCGUGAGUGAUGAAGGUCCUCGGAUCGGAAAACUCUGUUAGUAGGGAAGAACAUAUGUGUAAGUAACUGUGCACAUCUUGACGGUACAUAAUCAGAAAGCCACGGCUAACUACGUG
Molecule: ribosomal RNA, 458 nt
Filed under: uncultured bacterium
Lineage: Bacteria
Description: partial 16S ribosomal RNA
Rfam family: Bacterial small subunit ribosomal RNA
Source: RNAcentral